CUUCCAUCAGCUCAGGCAGAUUUCUAAGCAGCAAAUCAGCCUCUGCCAGAACACUGCAGGACACCAGUGCAGCGCCCAGCCUGCGACCAUGAGGCUCUAGGGGAUGGUAGAGUCACAGGAUGGAAGAACUCUGUGUCCUUGAAUCAUUGCAUGGAAGAGAACUGGAUGUUUCCCAGGAACACCAGCCUUGGACAGUUAUGUGAACAAGAAAUAAACUUCUUUUACAGUGUCA
Molecule: non-coding RNA, 232 nt
Filed under: Pongo abelii (Sumatran orangutan)
Lineage: Eukaryota; Metazoa; Chordata; Mammalia; Primates; Hominidae
Source: RNAcentral